Molecule: long non-coding RNA, 199 nt
Filed under: Ricinus communis (castor bean)
Lineage: Eukaryota; Viridiplantae; Streptophyta; Magnoliopsida; Malpighiales; Euphorbiaceae
Description: long non-coding RNA (RCOM_LNC003175)
Source: RNAcentral
GGCGACUCUUACUCAAUAACCCGACUUCUUCAUCAUCGGAUGGUGUUCGAUUUGGUAUGUCAAAUUGUAAAAAUUUUAGAUUCUCCACAGUAGUAAUAGUAGGGGUAUCAGUGGUAAUUUUCUGUAGUUUUGGAUCUCGCCUAAUUCUUCUGGCAGAUCGAUUAAAUUGUGUAAGAUUUAAUGUUAAGUUAAUUUGUGU